CAGAGGAGGGUUCACACGUUUGUGCUGUUUGCAGGGACCUCACACAGGUUUCAGCCCAUUGUUUAAAUGUUACUGAGAGUUUGAAACUAAAUCUGAGGUUUGAGGAGAAAAAAAUUGGCCCGGCUGCAUACGGAGCUGAUUAGAUGUUUCAAGUUUUGACAUGAUUUUUAUUGCCAUUUUUUUCUGAACCAUACAGCGCAGACUUGGCCGCAGAAAAAAAAUAGUACCACGCAUGUGGACAUAAAAACUGGCCUUUUGAAAUGCCGAAAUGUUGAGAAAGGGGUCCAAGAAUAAACACCAAAGCGAAUCCAAGGCACUCUUCCAGAUGGUCAAAAAGCACAUAACAGAACAGAUAGAGACAAGCCACAGAGUGUUUGGUCACAGAGAGUGUCUUUAGGGCUGACGGUCUAAUGACAGUCAGGUAAUUGCCUGGUGAAGCCCUCUCUGUUGAUUAAUCAACACUAGAGAUCAGUGCAAAUAGUUGUAUAAGAAGUACUUGGAUCAUGUACUUUAAACUUCUUAGAGAGAAGAUAAACAGAGAACACUCAGCCCAAAACAGCAGCUGGAUCCAUUAAGCCAGGCUAUAGUUACAAGUCUGACUAACACAUACCUUUUUUGUCUGAUGGAGAAUACAGAGCCUUUCUAGUUUUUAGUCUAAGUUGCAGGAAAAGCUGAGAUAGAAAAAAUAGAUGAUGAAUAAAGAUUAUUGAGAUUAAAAGUCAAAUGUCUAACAGAGAGUUGGUGUGAUGUUGAUGCAGUCCAAAUAUCAAGAGUUAAACUUAAGUUUACUAAUGGACCGAUCUCAGGAGAAAUAAAUCAUGCUAGGUGAUCUUGUCUGUAGGCAAAAAUUUUGAGAAUCUUGUUGAAAUCAAAAAUAGAGUUCAGUCAGGAACUCUUUCAUCAUUCAGAAUCAAUAACUUACAUGCAGAAAGUUGUAUUGGUUGGAAUAGCUCUGGUCUGGCUGGGAGAAUAGCAGCAAAGCCCUCCAGGUUGGGGCUCCCUGCCUUUCCACAUGGCAUGCAAAAACCUGAAGCACGGAGAGAACAACCCCAAACCUAACCCUAACCCCUCCUUUUUAUGCAUACACUGUAAAUAUAAAUGCCAAGGCUGGGAGAGCAGCAGCAAAGACUCCUGUGGUAAAGUUCUCUGCCUUUUUAUGUGCAUUUAUGAUAUGCAAAAACCAGAGGUUUGGAAAACACACCUCCUUUUUGUUCUUAGUGUAUAGUAUUAGAAGCUAGGGCAGGGAGAGCAGCAGCAAAGACUCCCAGGGUAGAGUUCCCUGUCCUUCUGUGUGUAUAUAAGAUAUGCCAAAACCUUAGGCUAUGAUAGCAGUCUCCCCAGUGUUUCAUGUGCGUUAACAAAGAGCCAUGGCAGGGAGAGCAGCAGCACAGACUCCCAGUGUAGAGCUCCCUGCUCUUCUAUAUGCAUACAUGAAAUGCCAAAGCCUGAGCCAGAGAGCACACCUUCCUUUUUGCUUAUGUGCAUAUUUAAGAAGCCAAGGCAGGGAGAGCAGCAGCAAAGGUCCCAAGUUUACAUAGUGUAUCCAUCAUAUUAGUGCUAUCAAACAAUGAGAAUACAGAGUGUCCCACACAUGUUUGAGUUUUAAGGGUGAACUAAUCAAACUGUGAGAAAAACAAGUGAUAAUAAUAAAGUUGAUGCUUUAGGAUUGAACUAUGAGAGGAUAAGUUUGUUGAAGAGCCAUGGGUUGGGGUGUGGUCCUGCCCCUGAAACAAAGUUCAGACAUCUUGAAACUUGAGGGUGAAGUCAAAAUGUUGGCAUUAAAGUUGAAAUGAAGAAAAUAAAGUCAUACUCUCAAUGUCAGCACCACUUUAAGAAUUAAUUCUGUGUGAAAGAAGGGAAAAAAGAAAAUCACCCUCAAAUAUUUUGAUUCCUACAUCUGAGGCUGAUUCUCCUCUGUAGUGCUGCACAAGUGUGAAAAGUGCUUUGAUGAAGCGCCGUUAGAUCACAGCUUUUGAGGACGUUUUCAACAAAAACAACAAAAACACUUGUAGGGAUUUUGACAUCACCUCAUCCGUGGUGGUCAGAGGGCGACUCUGCUCAGCUCUAAACAGCUGAAGCCAACAGUGUAAACAGUGGACGUCCGUAGUGUGCCAUCCUUUGAAGUGACUCAAUUUCUCAAGUCUUGGCACAGAACAGAAACCAUUAAAAAUGUGUUGUGUCAGUAAACAUUAUGGAGAGCUUGACGUCCACUGGACACCCACCCUGAACACACACACACACACACACACACACAUGCACACACACUUCAAAUCAACACAUAUACCCAAUUUCAAUCUCACACUCACAAAGACAGAGAAGUUUCAUUGGCUCGCUGCUCUCACUGGUUUAUAAAAUGAGCCCGUUUGGCGCAAGUACAGAGCUCACCAGCUUAUUUUAUGAGUCACAGUAAAAAAACAAACCAGCUAUGGUGAUGAAAAUCGAUUGAGCAAUCCUCGACCAAUGUAGGUAAGCAUUUCAGCUCACACUACAUUUAUGGAAGAGAGAUUUCUGACUGCAAACUUUGUCUCACAAGUGUUUGAAAAACUCACAAAUCUAUACAUCCUGAUUUGUGCAGUUUGACGUGGCGGUAAAGUUGAAGGUAAAUAAUAUAAAAGUAAAAGCCUUUUAGAGGUCGAGCUUUGUUGCAGUUACAUUGCCCGUUGCAUGACUUGGUAGAUAAUCCCAUUUUGUUUCUCAAUUGUUUGAUUUUACAUUUAAUGCUGUUGGGAUUGUUGUUCAUAUUAUGUUACCUAAGCUAACCAAACCUAACCUAACUUAACCUCAACUCAACAUGACCUCAACUCAACCUAACUUAACUAAACUCAACUUAAGUUAAGUUAACUCAUCUCAACCUAACUUCACUUAACUAAACUUAUGUAAACUCAACUCAACCUAACUUAACUUUACUUAACUCAACCUAACCUAACCUAACCUAACCUAACCUAACCUAACCCAACCUAAUCUAACCUAACCUCAACUCAACAUGACCUCAACUCAACUCAACUCAACCUAACUUAAUUCAACUCAACCUAACUUCACUUAACUAAACUUAUGUAAACUCAACUCAACCUAACUUAACUUAACUUUACUUAACUCAACUCAACCUAACUUAACUAAACUUAAGUUAACUCAACUCAACUCAACCUAACUUAACUUACCUAAACUUAAGUUAACAUAACUCAACUCAACCUAACUUAACUUUACUUAACUCAACUCAACCUAACUUAACUAAACUUAAGUUAACUCAACUCAACUCAACCUAACCUAACUUAACUUAACUAAACUUAAGUUAACAUAACUCAACUCAACCUAACUUCACUUAACUAAACUCAACUCAACUCAACUCAACUCAACUCAAUAAUGUGAUUCUGAAAGGAAGAUCCUUGAAGUAAACUGGCACACCUUCAGCGACCAGUAUCAACUCCCAAACUUUUAAAUCAAUGACUUGAAUCAAUGACUCUGGUUCGCAUCAGAUAAUGUAGGUUGGUUCAAAAGCUGCCCAGUCAGUCAGAUCAAGCAAUUCAGGCCAUUGAUGUCAGUACAGGUAUUUAAAAGUGGUCACAGGUCAUAUUUGGCACUAGGUAGGCUGUAAUGGCUGCCUGCCACACAGACACAAUGUGUGUAAAUUAAGCAUCAAUAAUGUAAACCAACCCUUGAAACUGUAUUGAGACCUAAAAGCAUCCCUUAAUAUGGAAAAAAUGUAUAUGAAAUAGACUCAUAAUUUAUGUAUCGACACAAUCCACCAUCUCUUCUCCGCUUCCUUUCUUUAUGUUUAUAUUUACAUCUAUAAAUGGUAUUUAAUAUGUAAACGAAGGACCCUCUUUUUUUAAAAUUCAUCCUCAGGCCUUGUCCCUCAAAGUUAUCGCAAUAGCAGUGACUUUUUAAGGAGUAGAUCCUUAACUCUUGUACUAAAUUAAGACCCUUGUUUCUGAUACUUCCAAAAGAAAUCUGGAACAUUCCCGCUGCUGUAAAGGACCUUCAAACAUACAGAAAUUCUUCCUAAAUGCAGCACUCAACAUGAGUCAGCUCAUGUCCAUGUAUGCAGAUUCGACUCUGCCUGUGAGGUCUGAGUCGUGUAUUUCCAGUUCGAGUCUUCAGAUGUUCCAUGACGGUGAGCUGUGGAACAUGUGUGCUUUCUGUUUUUUAUGUCUUCUUUGGUUUUAUGAUGCUGCAUCUCCAUCAGACAUGAUUUCAGAGUCCUCUAACUCUGGCCCGGCGGAGAGGUGGAGCUAAUGAUUCAGGAAAACAAAGUCAUGUGUUGGAAAAUAUAUCAGGGUUUUUUCCCCCAAAUAACCAGCACCAGAGGCAUCGGUAUAGGAAUGAAUGCCAUUAGCUAACUAUGGGUGCUUAGCUUUAUGAGCCUCUGUGGUUUGGAGGAAAUGGAGCUCUGAGAAGUCAUAUUUACCGAGCAGCUGGAGGGCUUUGUUAUGUGCAGUCAGGUUGCUGAGUGUUUCGCACGCUUCCACACAUUAAAUAUCCCUACGCUCACACCAUCAAUGUAUAAUAAUGCGCCCAAACACAUCAAAAAAACACACAUACAAGGAGAAAGCCAACCUAGCGGGCGCACACUCCUCUGCUGAGUCAGCACGGCCCACUAUUUUCACAGGCUGGGCCCUCGCCCUUUGUCUGCACCCCAAUAUAGCUCACGUCUCCGGCUUUUGAUGUCUGACGUUUUUACCACUUGGCGAGCGCUAACAUUCGUGUUAUUAAAACAAUAACAGAGGAGAAGAUUUACAGGCUACGCUGCAGACACAUGGGCGUGAGAUAGCAGGAGGGUUAUUACUGUAACCAGGCCCUGUCAUCUCCUGUAUGAGCUGUCGGCAGAGAGUGAGUGCCAAACUGUCUACAGCUGUGCAAAAAUGCCUCAGCCGUCAGCCAUUCAGGAGUAUUCAAUUAACGCUCUUAACCAUUAAAAGUUAAUAAAUCAUCAUUAUUCAUGUAAUUGCAGUUAGGAUAGGUAUAUACUAUGUCUACUUAGAGGAUUUGAAUCCAUGCUGAGUCUAAAUGUCCUCCUUUCAGUCUUGCAAACCGAGCCAUCAUGGUAAUACUGUAAGUUUAGACUCCAUCGUCUAUUUCCUGAUGAGGAUUCUGCCUCCAGGAGUGACAGCCAGUAUUUCAGGGCUUCUGAUGCAGUUAGAGUAAAGAGCCAGAUAUCAAGUGUAGAUAUUGUGUGCGAUGAUCAGUUUUUGUGAAUUUCAAUACGAGCUGACUCGACACCAGACAAAAGCCGAUGGUGUUACAGAACUGCGUGUUGGCCAAUGGAUCAUGCCUCCUGUGCUUUCCACAAAGACAGAUUUCGAGAGUUUGGAAGUAAUUUGAGCUUGAUAUGAACUAAAGAGUUUAAAGACGACAUACUGUGGUGAGCAUCGACUUGGGUUUCAGUCAUGUUAUUAUUUGACUUAGUUUUGCUGUGUCUGCUGCUGCUCAUCACCUGUCACCUGUUUCAGAGGCUGAUUGAGCACACCUG
Molecule: non-coding RNA, 5467 nt
Organism: Xyrichtys novacula (pearly razorfish)
Lineage: Eukaryota; Metazoa; Chordata; Actinopteri; Labriformes; Labridae
Source: the annotation of a GenBank genome assembly